CUGUUAUGUUCUGUGUUUUGUGUUGUCCUUCUGUGUGGACCCCAGGAAGAUUAGCUCAUCACCUUGGUGGCAGCUAAUGGAGAUCCUUUUAAACAUUAAACAUCACCAGUUAUUAAACAUUUUAGAUCAAUAGAUGAUUUU
This is a long non-coding RNA of Sphaeramia orbicularis (orbiculate cardinalfish), 141 nucleotides long. RefSeq lists it as uncharacterized. The transcript has 3 exons. Lineage: Eukaryota; Metazoa; Chordata; Actinopteri; Kurtiformes; Apogonidae. The record is from RefSeq and is a predicted model, not a curated record.